This is a non-coding RNA of Corylus avellana, 100 nucleotides long. The record is from RefSeq and is a predicted model, not a curated record. Lineage: Eukaryota; Viridiplantae; Streptophyta; Magnoliopsida; Fagales; Betulaceae.
AUGGGAUCCGGUGCAUUAGUGCUGGUAUGAUACAGAGAAGAUUAGCAUGGCCCUUGCGCAAGGAUGACACAUAUAAGUCGAGAAAUGGUAUCAGAGCCAU